GAUGAACGCUGGCGGCGUGCCUAAUACAUGCAAGUCGAGCGAACAGACGAGGAUCUUGCUCCUCUGACGUUAGCGGCGGACGGGUGAGGAACACGUGGAUAACCUGCCUAUAAGACUGGGAUAAGUUCGGGAAACCGGAGCUAAUACCGGAUAAGAUAUUGAACCGCAGGGUUCAAUAGUGAAAGACGGUUUUGCUGUCACUUAUAGAUGGAUCCGCGCCGCAUUAGCUAGUUGGUAAGGUAACGGCAUACCAAAGCAACGAUGCGUAGCCGACCUGAGAGGGUGAUCGGCCACACUGGAACUGAGACACGGUCCAGACUCCUACGGGAGGCAGCAGUAGGGAAUCUUCCGCAAUGGGCGAAAGCCUGACGGAGCAACGCCGCGUGAGUGAUGAAGGUCUUCGGAUCGUAAAACUCUGUUAUUAGGGAAGAACAAAUGUGUAAGUAACUAUGCACGUCUUGACGGUACCUAAUCAGAAAGCCACGGCUAACUACGUG
RNAcentral lists this ribosomal RNA (497 nucleotides) under uncultured bacterium. RNAcentral describes it as "partial 16S ribosomal RNA". It matches the Rfam family "Bacterial small subunit ribosomal RNA", at positions 28 to 507 of the family's 1533-position model. The record is from RNAcentral.